Molecule: ribosomal RNA, 254 nt
Filed under: uncultured bacterium
Lineage: Bacteria
Description: partial 16S ribosomal RNA
Rfam family: Bacterial small subunit ribosomal RNA
Source: RNAcentral
UACGUAGGGUCCAAGCGUUGUCCGGAUUUAUUGGGCGUAAAGAGCUCGUAGGUGGUUCGCUAAGUCGGAUGUGAAAACUCGGGGCUCAACCCCGAGACGCCAUCCGAUACUGGCAUGACUUGAGUCUGGUAGGGGAGAUCGGAAUUCCUGGUGUAGCGGUGAAAUGCGCAGAUAUCAGGAGGAACACCGGCGGUGUAGACGGCUUUCUGGACCGUAGCUGACGCUGAGACACGAAAGCGUGGGUAGCAAACAGG